UACGGGGGGGGUAAGCGUUGUUCGGAAUCACUGGGCGUAAGGGUGCGUAGGCGGGUCUUUUAAGUCAGGGGUGAAAUCCUGGAGCUCAACUCCAGAACUGCCUUUGAUACUGAAGAUCUUGAGUUCGGGAGAGGUGAGUGGAACUGCGAGUGUAGAGGUGAAAUUCGUAGAUAUUCGCAAGAACACCAGUGGCGAAGGCGGCUGACUGGUCCGGUUCUGACGCUGAGGCGCGAAAGCGUGGGGAGCAAACAGG
RNAcentral lists this ribosomal RNA (253 nucleotides) under uncultured bacterium. Its description in RNAcentral is "partial 16S ribosomal RNA". It matches the Rfam family "Bacterial small subunit ribosomal RNA", at positions 524 to 776 of the family's 1533-position model. The record is from RNAcentral.